UGGGGAAUUUUGGACAAUGGGCGCAAGCCUGAUCCAGCCAUGCCGCGUGUCUGAAGAAGGCCUUCGGGUUGUAAAGGACUUUUGUCAGGGAAGAAAAGGGCGGGGUUAAUACCCCUGUCUGAUGACGGUACCUGAAGAAUAAGCACCGGCUAACUACGUGCCAGCAGCCGCGGUAAUACGUAGGGUGCGAGCGUUAAUCGGAAUUACUGGGCGUAAAGCGGGCGCAGACGGUUACUUAAGCAGGAUGUGAAAUCCCCGGGCUCAACCUGGGAACUGCGUUCUGAACUGGGUGACUAGAGUGUGUCAGAGGGAGGUAGAAUUCCACGUGUAGCAGUGAAAUGCGUAGAGAUGUGGAGGAAUACCGAUGGCGAAGGCAGCCUCCUGGGAUAACACUGACGUUCAUGCUCGAAAGCGUGGGUAGCAAACA
This 427-nucleotide ribosomal RNA is filed under the name uncultured bacterium. RNAcentral describes it as "partial 16S ribosomal RNA". It matches the Rfam family "Bacterial small subunit ribosomal RNA", at positions 355 to 774 of the family's 1533-position model. The record is from RNAcentral.